AUGGAUCGGAGAACGGUAUCGGAAGCUCAGUAAGGGAACACGACGUUGGUCGUGCUUCUAUCUAUCGGGUUGCGCGUGCUGCGGACGAUUAAUUAACUGCAGAUUGCGCCGGGUAUGCGGGGUGUACAGGUUCAACCCCUGGGUUAUACAGACUCGAAGGCAUGUAUUGGUCUACGGUAUGCCAUCGAGGAACCCCUAACGUGUCCUGAACACUGCACACUGCACGCCGAACUCAGGAGAGCCUCGUUCUCCGAUCGAUCGAUCACACCGAGUCCGUGUACACUUGGCUGCAAUGACUCUGAGAGGGUUGAUUUUUUCGGUGAGUCAGUUAUGUUGGCAACGCAGACACCGACCGCAGCGCCGCACCCGGACGGCUGCGAAACAACCUCGAAACGAUCGAUCCUUUUUUCCUCUCCCCAUGGGAGCCCUGCAAAAGGGGUUCGGAUUUUGCUCUCCCUGCAGCAUCGGAAGGGCGCUGGAUGGCGGGUUACGAGAAGGGACGGCGCCUCGCUCCUACCGGGGACAUAAAUUUUCCCCAACUUUGGAAACGAAUGGUUACCUAACAGCCAACGGCUUUCGCCCACGCAGCUCCCAAGACUGGGAUUAAAUUUCCCCUAUGGGCUGUUGUAAUACGCGCGAGCAAGAAGUUAUACGGAAAAAGCAGAAGCAGAGGAAAAAACGAAGAGAAGAAAACACGAGAGGGGAGCAAGAAGGCUUAAGGGGCACAUCCAUCUUGACCGUUCACAACUGGAACAAUUUUUCAUCAUUUGCAGGGCGAAAGAAAUGAGGCGACAUUCAGCUUUGGUGAUCGUUACUUGACCAAAGUAAGAGAGAAAAAAAAAAAAGAACCA
This is a long non-coding RNA of Neodiprion fabricii, 851 nucleotides long. RefSeq lists it as uncharacterized. The record is from RefSeq and is a predicted model, not a curated record. The transcript has 3 exons. Lineage: Eukaryota; Metazoa; Arthropoda; Insecta; Hymenoptera; Diprionidae.